This 301-nucleotide ribosomal RNA is filed under the name uncultured bacterium. Its description in RNAcentral is "partial 16S ribosomal RNA". It matches the Rfam family "Bacterial small subunit ribosomal RNA", at positions 509 to 807 of the family's 1533-position model. The record is from RNAcentral.
CAGCAGCCGCGGUAAUACGAAGGGGGCUAGCGUUGCUCGGAAUGACUGGGCGUAAAGGGCGCGUAGGCGGCUGACACAGUCAGAUGUGAAAUUCCUGGGCUCAACCUGGGGACUGCAUUUGAGACGUGUUGGCUUGAGUGGAGAAGAGGGUCGUGAAAUUUCCAGUGUAGAGGUGAAAUUCGUAGAUAUUGGAAAGAACACCGGUGGCGAAGGCGGCGACCUGGUCUUUAACUGACGCUGAGGCGCGAAAGCGUGGGGAGCAAACAGGAUUAGAUACCCCUGUAGUCCCUGUCUCUUAUAC